This 465-nucleotide ribosomal RNA is filed under the name uncultured bacterium. RNAcentral describes it as "partial 16S ribosomal RNA". It matches the Rfam family "Bacterial small subunit ribosomal RNA", at positions 28 to 507 of the family's 1533-position model. The record is from RNAcentral.
GACGAACGCUGGCGGCGUGCUUAACACAUGCAAGUCGGACGGAAAGGCCCCUUUGGGGGUACUCGAGUGGCGAACGGGUGAGUAACACGUGAGUAACCUGCCCUUGACUUCGGGAUAACUUCAGGAAACUGGGGCUAAUACCGGAUAGGAAUCCUUGCUGCAUGGUGGGGGUUGGAAAGCUUCGGCGGUUUUGGAUGGACUCGCGGCUUAUCAGCUUGUUGGUGGGGUAGUGGCUUACCAAGGCUUUGACGGGUAGCCGGCCUGAGAGGGCGACCGGCCACAUUGGGACUGAGAUACGGCCCAGACUCCUACGGGAGGCAGCAGUGGGGAAUAUUGCACAAUGGGCGGAAGUCUGAUGCAGCAACGCCGCGUGCGGGAUGACGGCCUUCGGGUUGUAAACCGCUUUCAGCAGGGGCGAAGCUUGUGGUGACGGUACCUGCAGAAGAAGCACCGGCUAACUACGUG